CUACGGGCUGCACCAGUGAGGAAUUUUGCGCAAUGGGGGAAACCCUGACGCAGCAACGCCGCGUGAGCGAAGAAGGCCUUCGGGUCGUAAAGCUCUGUCAAGUGGGAAAAACGUUUUCCGGUCAAUAGCCGGGAGAUCUGAUGGUACCGCUGAAGGAAGCACCGGCUAACUCCGUGCCAGCAGCCGCGGUAAUACGGAGGGUGCAAGCGUUGUUCGGAAUUAUUGGGCGUAAAGAGCGUGUAGGCGGUUUGGUAAGUCAGAUGUGAAAGCCCUGGGCUCAACCCGGGAAGUGCAUUUGAAACUGCUUUACUUGAGUAUGGGAGAGGAGAGUGGAAUUCCUGGUGUAGAGGUGAAAUUCGUAGAUAUUAGGAGGAACAUCUGUGGCGAAGGCGACUCUCUGGACCAAUACUGACGCUGAGACGCGAAAGCGUGGGUAGCAAACAGGAUUAGAUACCCCGGUAGUC
RNAcentral lists this ribosomal RNA (464 nucleotides) under uncultured bacterium. Its description in RNAcentral is "partial 16S ribosomal RNA". It matches the Rfam family "Bacterial small subunit ribosomal RNA", at positions 339 to 795 of the family's 1533-position model. The record is from RNAcentral.